CGAGUCAGCCGAGAUAAUCGCUGCCUGCAACGAAAAUGCGCAGGGGGAGGAAAGUCCGGGCUCCACAGGGCAGGGUGCCAGCUAACGGCUGGGGGGCGCGAGCCUACGACAAGUGCAGCAGAGAGGAGACCGCCAACUUUGGUUGGUAAGGGUGAAAGGGUGCGGUAAGAGCGCACCGGGCCACUGGUAACAGUUGGUUGCAAGGUAAACUCCACCCGGAGCAAGACCAAAUAGGGUUCCUUAUGGCGUGGCCCACGUUGGAACCGGGUAGGUUGCUUGAGCCAUAGAGCAAUUUAUGGCCUAGACGAAUGAUUAUCCACGACAGAACCCGGCUUAUUGGCUGACUCACCAA
RNAcentral lists this RNase P RNA (352 nucleotides) under Pseudoalteromonas shioyasakiensis. RNAcentral's name for it is "RNase P RNA component class A". It matches the Rfam family "Bacterial RNase P class A". Rfam says of the family: Ribonuclease P (RNase P) is a ubiquitous endoribonuclease, found in archaea, bacteria and eukarya as well as chloroplasts and mitochondria. Its best characterised activity is the generation of mature 5'-ends of tRNAs by cleaving the 5'-leader elements of precursor-tRNAs. Cellular RNase Ps are ribonucleoproteins. The record is from RNAcentral. Lineage: Bacteria; Pseudomonadati; Pseudomonadota; Gammaproteobacteria; Alteromonadales; Pseudoalteromonadaceae.